This 2571-nucleotide non-coding RNA is filed under the name Pongo abelii (Sumatran orangutan). Lineage: Eukaryota; Metazoa; Chordata; Mammalia; Primates; Hominidae. The record is from RNAcentral.
AGAAGUGCCGAGUCCCGACCAGGGGCAGCCUCGCCGCCGCUCAGCUCAGGAAUCCCUGCCCCCCACCAGCACCACGGUGGGUGAUACUGCAAGUUCAAGGUGGUUUAAGGCGUGAAUGAAUGAAGGAGCAAGCAGUAAGUCCCGACAGCAAGGCCACCACAGCCCUCACCCCACAGGGACGCCUGAGCAAGGACCCAAGCAGGGGACAAGCAGGCUCACCCCGCCCUUGCGGGGCUGACCACGAGGCCCGGUCCGGUGGAACGCGCCAUGACAAUCUGAACCUGCCUCAGCCCCAGGACUCUGAGUGCAGCCAGAGGGGAGCCGGGCUGGAGAGUGGGGAGCACGGAGACUGUGGCCUGGACGGUGCCAGAGCAAACAGGAGAAAGGCUCCCCCACACAAAGGCUGCGGCACAGCCCAGCGGGUCCCGGGGCUGACUGGGUGGGAGCAGCUCCCAGCGAGAGGCCCCUGGGAUUUGGGUAAGUAGAGGCACAUGCAGACUCUGGCCACAGGGCACCUCGCGCAUGAGGGGAGUUCACCACACAAGCUGAGUGGAGGGCGGACGCAGGAGAACAGCGGUUUCUUUGGAAGCCAAGGGCAGUCAUGGAGCCCCACGCCACAGCGCUUCCCACGGGGCCACACCAUCCGGUCUGCGGAGGGAGCUGCAUUGCCGGGAAGGACCAUCUGAUUCUGGAUUCCAGCCUCACCCUGGGCCACCGCUGAGUGUCCCAAGUGGCCCCUUAGCCCCCAGGGCCAGGCGGCAUCCCAAUCCCCUUGGGAUGUUGUGCUCAGAAUGUGGCACACACACCCUGGCAGGGCCAUCCUCCUCCUCCUGCACCCGGCAUGGCCGUGGGUUCAGGGUCUCUAUCGUGGGCAGAGAUUCACAGAGUCAAGGUGAGGGUCCCAGAAGCAGCUGUGACCAGGCCCUGGCUGCCAGGGAGAGGGGGUCCUCAGCCGACAGGGCAGACACCCGGAGAUGGACCCUCGUCCAGGGGAGGGCCCUGCCGCCCACAAUUCCUUGGCAUUCCUGCACCAGCAGGAUGGGCUGAGGGAGGCGCCUUGCCAGUGUCAGUGCCCAGCAUCACUGUGCCCCGGUGGAGGGGGAGGCCUUUCCGAGCCUGGGCCUGGGUGUGAACGAGGGCAGGUUUCUCACCUCUCUGACCUCAGUUUCCUCAACUGGGAAGGGGGGCCGCAGCACCCCCUUAGGGGUGAUGAGGAAGUGGGAGCUCAGGGAGGGCCCUGGGCAGGGCUGCCUCCUCACCUCCCUUCAGCCUUUGGACACUGGAGCUCAGAGGACCAAGCAAAUGAAUGAAUGAAUGACUCAAUCAAUCAACUGAUGCAUCAAUCCAUGGACCCCUGAACAGCUGGACAGCUGGGCUGUGGGCAGGACGGGGGACUCUGGCCGAAGCCACGUUCAUAUGUGUUCAGCUUUGUGAGUGGGGUGAGGUUGAGGGCUUAUUCAGUGGGGGGGGAGGGGUGCACGGCAGGGCCAGUACCCUCGGAGGGUCAGGCCACAGAGGGCGGGGACACCUGCCAGGAUGCCCAACCCCAGAGGCAGUGCGAGCCGCUGGGGAGCCGUGGUUCCAGUCAGCGGUGGCUGUGAUGAGGGCUGCUCCCACUUCAUCCGCAGGAUUCCAGCCGCAGCCACCCCACACCCGAGCUGUCCCUAGUCGCCCACCACGACCGGACAAAGCCCCCGGCAGCCAAAGUGCUCCGCGGGGCGGGUUUCUUGGGUUUUUUGAAGCCAGUAUUUCCCAUGGUAUCUUACGUCCCAGAAGAGGCCUCCACUGUGCCUGGACCAGCGGCCCACUCGGUGAGUCGAGUGUGCACCUGGCACCCCUCUUUCUGGAAAUCCACGAACACUGGGCUCCCAGCAGAGGACUGAGGCUGAGCAGGCCACUUCGCUGGAGCUGACCCCACAGCUGUGUAGGUACAGGGUGGCUGUGAACACUUAGGGCUCUCUCGGGCUGUGCGCUUCUUGGCUCCUGACCAAGCCCUGUCACUGCUGCCCAGCCCCACUUGGGGCCCCCUUCACCCACCCCUGACCACCUCAUGCAGGUGAAGCCACUGUGGAAACAGCCUGGCAGUCCCUCGAAAAAUGAAGUCAUAAACCCCAGCAAUUGCACUCCUGGGCCUAUGACAGAGCUUGCACAUCCCCUCCAAAGCUCAUGUUUAGCUGUGAGCCCCAGUGCCGGAGGUGGGGCCUGGUGUAUUUUGGUCCUGGGGGCGGAUCCCUCAUGGCUGGGUGCCAUGCACCCACUCACCACGGUGAGUUCUCGCGAGAUCUGGUUGUUGAAAAGUGUAUGGUACCUCCCCCACAACUCUCUGUCUUUUGUUCCGGCUCUGGCCAUGUAACAAGCCUGCUCCUCCUUCGCCUUCUGCCGUGACUGUAAGCUUUCUGAGGGCUGACCAGAAGCCCAGCAGAUGCCAGCACCAUGCUUCCUAUACAGCCUGCAGAACCGUGAGCCAGCUAAACCUCUCCUUAUAAAUCACCCAGCCCCAGGUUUAUCUUUACAGCAAUGCAAGACCUGACUAAUACAGCACAAGCUCCCCAAAAUAAAAAGAAAUAUUCA